GCCUAGUUAGCUCGGAGGGUAUUAACGCGUGUGUCUUGUAAGCGCUAGGUCGCGGGUUCGAUUCCCGCCCGGGGCA
This 76-nucleotide transfer RNA is filed under the name Diaphorina citri (Asian citrus psyllid). It matches the Rfam family "tRNA". Rfam says of the family: Transfer RNA (tRNA) molecules are approximately 80 nucleotides in length. The record is from Rfam by way of RNAcentral. Lineage: Eukaryota; Metazoa; Arthropoda; Insecta; Hemiptera; Psyllidae.